Molecule: long non-coding RNA, 436 nt
Organism: Suricata suricatta (meerkat)
Lineage: Eukaryota; Metazoa; Chordata; Mammalia; Carnivora; Herpestidae
Exons: 3
Source: RefSeq, a predicted model, not a curated record
CUUUGUUAGGCCUGGCUACAUCAUGCCCACAGACGCAGGGUCUGGAGAACUGGGGACCGUUCCCAGGUCACCUUGGGCCCUCACCACUCCCAGAGGCUUUGCUGGGACCCUAGAUCAUCCGGCUUAAUGAACUGUCAGGAAACUCUACAAAGGGCUCAGCUGAUAGCUUGGAGUAAAUAGCUAAUCACAGUUUAAAUUGUGCCCACUUGCCUGCCUCCCCAAGUGUAUCUGCUUCAAGAAUCAAAAGAAUUGAGCCCUAAUGGUGGAAGGUGAUUGUCCUACUGCCUCUUCACUUUCUCUGUGUCCAGGAUGCCUGCUCUUAUCUCCCUGGUUCCCAGAUUUCUUCAUCCACUCCUCGGUUUUGACAUUUCUUCCAUGCUCUUCAGGUCUCCUGGAGUGCCCCUUCCGUGGCCCUGAAGCUCGCCGAGUGCCAGAG